RNAcentral lists this non-coding RNA (155 nucleotides) under uncultured Parabacteroides sp. The record is from RNAcentral. Lineage: Bacteria; Pseudomonadati; Bacteroidota; Bacteroidia; Bacteroidales; Tannerellaceae.
UCCACUAUCCGUUAGUAAAAGGGAAUCCGGUGUGAAUCCGGAACUGUACCCGUAGCUGUAAGUUCUGUAACCCCGGCAAAUCUUGUUGCCACUGACUGCAAAGUUGGGAAGGCGGCCGAUCAUGGGAGAACGAGUCAGAAAACCUGCCAUCAUUC